Molecule: ribosomal RNA, 920 nt
Filed under: Bacillus amyloliquefaciens
Lineage: Bacteria; Bacillati; Bacillota; Bacilli; Caryophanales; Bacillaceae
Description: bacterial SSU rRNA
Rfam family: Bacterial small subunit ribosomal RNA
Source: RNAcentral
UAUACAUGCAAGUCGAGCGGACAGAUGGGAGCUUGCUCCCUGAUGUUAGCGGCGGACGGGUGAGUAACACGUGGGUAACCUGCCUGUAAGACUGGGAUAACUCCGGGAAACCGGGGCUAAUACCGGAUGCUUGUUUGAACCGCAUGGUUCAGACAUAAAAGGUGGCUUCGGCUACCACUUACAGAUGGACCCGCGGCGCAUUAGCUAGUUGGUGAGGUAACGGCUCACCAAGGCGACGAUGCGUAGCCGACCUGAGAGGGUGAUCGGCCACACUGGGACUGAGACACGGCCCAGACUCCUACGGGAGGCAGCAGUAGGGAAUCUUCCGCAAUGGACGAAAGUCUGACGGAGCAACGCCGCGUGAGUGAUGAAGGUUUUCGGAUCGUAAAGCUCUGUUGUUAGGGAAGAACAAGUGCCGUUCAAAUAGGGCGGCACCUUGACGGUACCUAACCAGAAAGCCACGGCUAACUACGUGCCAGCAGCCGCGGUAAUACGUAGGUGGCAAGCGUUGUCCGGAAUUAUUGGGCGUAAAGGGCUCGCAGGCGGUUUCUUAAGUCUGAUGUGAAAGCCCCCGGCUCAACCGGGGAGGGUCAUUGGAAACUGGGGAACUUGAGUGCAGAAGAGGAGAGUGGAAUUCCACGUGUAGCGGUGAAAUGCGUAGAGAUGUGGAGGAACACCAGUGGCGAAGGCGACUCUCUGGUCUGUAACUGACGCUGAGGAGCGAAAGCGUGGGGAGCGAACAGGAUUAGAUACCCUGGUAGUCCACGCCGUAAACGAUGAGUGCUAAGUGUUAGGGGGUUUCCGCCCCUUAGUGCUGCAGCUAACGCAUUAAGCACUCCGCCUGGGGAGUACGGUCGCAAGACUGAAACUCAAAGGAAUUGACGGGGGCCCGCACAAGCGGUGGAGCAUGUGGUUUAAUU